This 497-nucleotide ribosomal RNA is filed under the name uncultured bacterium. Its description in RNAcentral is "partial 16S ribosomal RNA". It matches the Rfam family "Bacterial small subunit ribosomal RNA", at positions 28 to 507 of the family's 1533-position model. The record is from RNAcentral.
GAUGAACGCUGGCGGCGUGCCUAAUACAUGCAAGUCGAGCGAACAGACGAGGAGCUUGCUCCUCUGACGUUAGCGGCGGACGGGUGAGUAACACGUGGAUAACCUACCUAUAAGACUGGGAUAACUUCGGAAAACCGGAGCUAAUACCGGAUAAUAUAUUGAACCGCAUGGUUCAAUAGUGAAAGACGGUUUUGCUGUCACUUAUAGAUGGAUCCGCGCCGCAUUAGCUAGUUGGUAAGGUAACGGCUUACCAAGGCGACGAUGCGUAGCCGACCUGAGAGGGUGAUCGGCCACACUGGAACUGAGACACGGUCCAGACUCCUACGGGAGGCAGCAGUAGGGAAUCUUCCGCAAUGGGCGAAAGCCUGACGGAGCAACGCCGCGUGAGUGAUGAAGGUCUUCGGAUCGUAAAACUCUGUUAUUAGGGAAGAACAAAUGUGUAAGUAACUAUGCACGUCUUGACGGUACCUAAUCAGAAAGCCACGGCUAACUACGUG